CUCCAUCUGCCGGGGUGAAGUGCGCGAGCCCAGGACUGAGACAGCUAGCUCCUUCAGGGGAUGGGGGCACAUCUGGGGAUAGGAAGGGGUGGGGACAAGAAAUACUGAUCGAAGUCAUGGUCUAUUUACAGGGGACAAGAAGCCAAAACGGAUGGGAUGGGUGGUCUGUUUUUAAAAAAUGAACAAAAACCCCGUUAGGGCAGGGGCAUGAAGUGGCAAAAUGAGAUGGAUUUUGAAAGGGGAGGAGACCUGGGGGAGGGGGUCUCACCUCCCUUGGUCCAAGCCCCAAUUUGGGGUUAAAGUGGGGAAACAGAGUCGAUUUCACUUAGAAGGCAGGCUGCCAGCAGGGCAGCCCUGGUCUCCAAAAAGAUGAGUAGUAGUAAAAUUUUGCCCUCCAGUCAAAACAUUGGAAAAACAGUAGGGGGUGGGGGUGAGGCUGACUCCCUGCAAUGUCAGUAGGCUUCCAGGCAUCGCCCUGGGCUGGGCAGACAGGGCAGCACAGGAUAGGACCUGACUCUCCAGGGAGAAAUGUUCCCCUUGCCUAAGACCAGGGUCUCUGUAGCCAGACCCCCUUUCCUCCCUGGCAUUCCCAGCCUUGACCAGGAAACCUGGACCCCAGAGAGGCCACAUAACAGUUCCAAGAGGAGGUUAUGGCUAUUUGGCACCUGGAAGAGGGGAGGCACAAGGAGAAAUUAAGGGCUGCUGCCCCAGGCAAUGGGGAGCUGGGGACCAGGUGUCCUGAACUCUCCCUUUUUCCCACUCUCACUCCCCUUUUCCCGAAGGACACAUGAGAAAUCAGUGCAGGGCCAGGGCCAGGCCCAGCCUCCCGGCUCUGGGGUGGACUCUAUCCCUCCCAGGACAGGGAACAGGGAUGGGGGAGGUGUUGAGGCAACGCCCCCACCCCCCAGGCAGGAGGGUCAGAAUGCAACAGAGACGGCACAAUGAUGGGGGGAGAGGGAAGGGCCGAGAAGGUAGAAUCUCAAGUCAAGAGGCCCAGGGGCCACCCAGGUGCCCCAUGGGCAGGGAGCAGCCCCCAGUUGGCAGAUGCUGGGAGAGCCCCAGCCCCGUUCCAGUCCAGAGACAAAAGCUGGAGUGUGUAAAGUCUGGCAGUUUGAUCUGCAGGUGCUUGUGUCCAUCGACCACCAGGCCAGCCCUCGGCAGCCCUCGGCCUCUGUGCCUCAGCCCCAUGGGGCAAGAAAGAGGCUGCCCUUCUAGCCACCUCUGUCUGCCCAGGCCAUCUUAAGGGGGCCUGUGAUAUGAGCCCUCUGGUCCCUGAAGCUGGGGGAGGUGGGGUGGAGGGGUGGGGGGAGUCGGGGCACCUGUCCCCAGGCUGGUAGGGGGAGGGGUGGGGUGUUGAGGACAGGGGAGGGAGGACAAUGGGAGGGGGGUUAAUUAUUGUCCAGUUAUGGAAUGAUUCCUGUUAAGUAGAAUUGGAAUUCCUCAGUGUUUGCAAGUUUCCUUCCAGUUCUGAGAUCUGGAAAACAAAGGAGGGUAGGGGGUCAGGUCUGGACACCAGGCAUGAUCCCAGCCCCUUCCGCCCCCCGAUGAGGACAUGGCAUCCCCUCCCUCCAGGACCCACAGGGUAGGGGCUUCAGUGCUGCUCCCUCCACUGGGCCCUGCCCACAGGGCGCCCCGGGCCCACCUUGUCCAGGAGCUUGUCCAUCUCCUCCUUUCUGGCCAGCUCCGACUCCUCCAGAACCCGACGCUGUGCAGUCUCCUUUUUCAGGAACUCGAUCUCCCUGGGCACAGGCAAGGGACAGAUGGCAGAGCCCCAUGCCAGCGUGUGAUGAUGACACAGUCACUGGUUUGCAGAUGCACAAGAACAACGAUCAACUCUGGCUUUGCCCGUCAUGGUGAUGAGAACAAUACUGGACAUCUAGAAGGUACCCAGAGGAUGUCUCUCCACAGGGAACAGCUCCAACCUCUCCACACGCUUCUCCAGCUCGUACUCAGCAGAGGCUGCCAUGGGAUCCACAUCCUCGUUGCGACGAUCGUAAUCCUCGUUGGAGUCUUUAAUCCAUCUGGAAUUCAUAUUUAUGGAUGGUGUGAAGAUUUUUCAUAAGAAAAGCCAAUUGUCACAACACAUUUUACUGAAGUCUAUUCUCUCUCACUGAGUUGCAGUGCCGCCACUAUCAUAAAUCACAUUCCCACAUAUACUUGGAUCUGUUUCUGGGCACUCUAUUCUAUUGAUUCCUUUGUCUAGCCCGGCACCGAUACCACAUUGUUUUAAUUACUAUCGCUUUCAAAAAAGUCUUGGUAUUUGUUAGGGCCAGGUCUCUUUCCUUAUUCUUUUUCAGAACUGUCUACUUUUUUCUUGGGUCUUUGCUCUUCUCUAUGAAUUUUAGAAUCAGUUUGCCUAGCUCUGUGAAAAAUCCUGUUGGAAUAUUUAUUGGACCGGCCAUGAAUCAACAGAUUAACGUGGAGAGACUCGCCUUCAUAACAUGGAGGCAUCUCAUACUUAACCUAAUACUUCUCUAUGGCUCUCCAUUUAUUACUAUUGCAGCCUAUGCUUUACUUCCUAAAUAUCUUGCAAUGAGUUUU
RNAcentral lists this long non-coding RNA (2541 nucleotides) under Pan troglodytes (chimpanzee). RNAcentral's name for it is "long non-coding RNA NONPTRT006851". The record is from RNAcentral. Lineage: Eukaryota; Metazoa; Chordata; Mammalia; Primates; Hominidae.